Molecule: ribosomal RNA, 475 nt
Filed under: uncultured bacterium
Lineage: Bacteria
Description: bacterial SSU rRNA
Rfam family: Bacterial small subunit ribosomal RNA
Source: RNAcentral
GUGGACUCCUACGGGAGGCAGCAGUGGGGAAUUUUGGACAAUGGGCGCAAGCCUGAUCCAGCCAUGCCGCGUGUCUGAAGAAGGCCUUCGGGUUGUAAAGUACUUUUGUCAGGGAAGAAAAGAACAGGGUUAAUACCUCUGUUUGAUGACGGUACCUGAAGAAUAAGCACCGGCUAACUACGUGCCAGCAGCCGCGGUAAUACGUAGGGUGCGAGCGUUAAUCGGAAUGAACGGGCGUAAAGCGAGCGCAGACGGUUACUUAAGCAGGGUGUGAAAUCCCCGGGCGCAACCUGGGAACUGCGUUCUGAACUGGGUGACUAGAGUGUGUCAGAGGGAGGUAGAAUUCCACGUGUAGCAGUGAAAUGCGUAGAGAUGUGGAGGAAUACCGAUGGCGAAGGCAGCCUCCUGGGAUAACACUGACGUUCAUGCUCGAAAGCGUGGGUAGCAAACAGGAUUAGAUACCCUGGUAGUCCGA